RNAcentral lists this ribosomal RNA (464 nucleotides) under uncultured bacterium. RNAcentral's name for it is "partial 16S ribosomal RNA". It matches the Rfam family "Bacterial small subunit ribosomal RNA", at positions 339 to 795 of the family's 1533-position model. The record is from RNAcentral.
CUACGGGUUGCUCCAGUGGGGAAUAUUGCACAAUGGGCGCAAGCCUGAUGCAGCCAUGCCGCGUGUAUGAAGAAGGCCUUCGGGUUGUAAAGUACUUUCAGCGGGGAGGAAGGGAGUAAAGUUAAUACCUUUGCUCAUUGACGUUACCCGCAGAAGAAGCACCGGCCAACUCCGUGCCAGCAGCCGCGGUAAUACGGAGGGUGCAAGCGUUAAUCGGAAUUACUGGGCGUAAAGCGCACGCAGGCGGUUUAUUAAGUCAGAUGUGAAAUCCCCGGGCUCAACCUGGGAACUGCAUCUGAUACUGGCAAGCUUGAGUAUCGUAGAGGGGGGUAGAAUUCCAGGUGUAGCGGUGAAAUGCGUAGAGAUCUGGAGGAAUACCGGUGGCGAAGGCGGCCCCCUGGACGAAGACUGACGCUCAGGUGCGAAAGCGUGGGGAGCAAACAGGAUUAGAUACCCUUGUAGUC